UUCCAGACUCCUACGGGAGGCAGCAGUGGGGGAUAUUGCACAAUGGGGGGAACCCUGAUGCAGCGACGCCGCGUGGGUGAAGGAGUGCUUCGGCAUGUAAAGCCCUAUCGGCAGGGAAGAAGCAAGACGGUACCUGACUAAGAAGCCCCGGCUAACUACGUGCCAGCAGCCGCGGUAAUACGUAGGGGGCGAGCGUUAUCCGGAUUCACUGGGUGUAAAGGGAGCGCAGGCGGCGCGCCAAGUCUGAUGUGAAACCCCGGGGCUCAACCCCGGGCAUGCAUUGGAAACUGGCGGGCUGGAGUGCCGGAGAGGUAAGCGGAAUUCCUAGUGUAGCAGUGAAAUGCGUAGAUAUUAGGAGGAACACCAGUGGCGAAGGCGGCUUACUGGACGGCAACUGACGCUGAGGCUCGAAAGCGUGGGGAGCAAACAGGAUUAGAUACCCGUGUAA
Molecule: ribosomal RNA, 448 nt
Filed under: uncultured bacterium
Lineage: Bacteria
Description: partial 16S ribosomal RNA
Rfam family: Bacterial small subunit ribosomal RNA
Source: RNAcentral